GACGGAGGAGGCAAGCGUUAUCCGGAAUUAUUGGGCGUAAAGCGUCCGCAGGCGGUUAGUUAAGUCUGUUGUUAAAUGUCACAGCUCAACUGUGGGAGGGCAAUGGAAACUGAUUAACUUGAGUGUGGUAGGGGUAGAGGGAAUUCCCGGUGUAGCGGUGAAAUGCGUAGAUAUCGGGAAGAACACCAGUGGCGAAGGCGCUCUACUGGGCCAUAACUGACGCUGAGGGACGAAAGCUAGGGGAGCGAAAGGG
Molecule: ribosomal RNA, 253 nt
Filed under: uncultured cyanobacterium
Lineage: Bacteria; Bacillati; Cyanobacteriota
Description: partial 16S ribosomal RNA
Rfam family: Bacterial small subunit ribosomal RNA
Source: RNAcentral